This 80-nucleotide transfer RNA is filed under the name Blumeria graminis f. sp. tritici. It matches the Rfam family "tRNA". Rfam says of the family: Transfer RNA (tRNA) molecules are approximately 80 nucleotides in length. Their secondary structure includes four short double-helical elements and three loops (D, anti-codon, and T loops). RNAcentral also lists the same sequence under 1 other name. Lineage: Eukaryota; Fungi; Ascomycota; Leotiomycetes; Helotiales; Erysiphaceae. The record is from Rfam by way of RNAcentral.
GCCCGGGUAGCUCAAUCGGUAGAGCGUGUGGCUCUUACAAGACUACCUCAAGGUCGCGGGUUCGAGCCCCGCCUCGGGCU